RNAcentral lists this ribosomal RNA (253 nucleotides) under uncultured bacterium. Its description in RNAcentral is "partial 16S ribosomal RNA". It matches the Rfam family "Bacterial small subunit ribosomal RNA", at positions 524 to 776 of the family's 1533-position model. The record is from RNAcentral.
UACAGAGGGGGCAAGCGUUGUUCGGAAUUACUGGGCGUAAAGGGCGCGUAGGCGGCCUGCUAAGUCGAACGUGAAAUCCCUGGGCUCAACCCAGGAACUGCGUCCGAUACUGGUUGGCUUGAAUCCGGGAGAGGGAUGUGGAAUUCCAGGUGUAGCGGUGAAAUGCGUAGAUAUCUGGAGGAAUACCGGUGGCGAAGGCGGCAUCCUGGCCCGGUACUGACGCUGAGGUGCGAAAGCGUGGGGAGCAAACAGG